UACGUAGGGUGCGAGCGUUGUCCGGAAUUAUUGGGCGUAAGGAGCUCGUAGGCGGUUUGGUAAGUUGGAUGUGAAAUCUCCAGGCUCAACUUGGAGGGGUCAUUCGAUACUGCCAUGACUAGAGUUCGGUAGGGGAGUGUGGAAUUCCUGGUGGAGCGGUGAAAUGCGCAGAUAUCAGGAGGAACACCCGUAGCGAAGGCGGCACUCUGGGCCGGAACUGACGCUGAGGAGCGAAAGCGUGGGGAGCGAACAGG
This 254-nucleotide ribosomal RNA is filed under the name uncultured bacterium. RNAcentral describes it as "partial 16S ribosomal RNA". It matches the Rfam family "Bacterial small subunit ribosomal RNA", at positions 524 to 776 of the family's 1533-position model. The record is from RNAcentral.